Small nucleolar RNA from Tachyglossus aculeatus (Australian echidna), 138 nucleotides. Lineage: Eukaryota; Metazoa; Chordata; Mammalia; Monotremata; Tachyglossidae. The record is from RefSeq and is a predicted model, not a curated record.
CCUCUCUCAGGAUCACACCUGGAGAACUCCAAGUACUCUACCAGUCUCGACUACAGGAGGGAGAGUCCGGAAGAUGCCUACCCAUUCCAUUCCUAGUUUGGGCAGUGGCUAGCGAGUGGAAGGCAAUCUGCUACAAGU